RNAcentral lists this ribosomal RNA (103 nucleotides) under Staphylococcus epidermidis. RNAcentral's name for it is "partial 16S ribosomal RNA". It matches the Rfam family "Bacterial small subunit ribosomal RNA", at positions 1431 to 1533 of the family's 1533-position model. The record is from RNAcentral. Lineage: Bacteria; Bacillati; Bacillota; Bacilli; Caryophanales; Staphylococcaceae.
AGCCGUAACCAUUUGGAGCUAGCCGUCGAAGGUGGGACAAAUGAUUGGGGUGAAGUCGUAACAAGGUAGCCGUAUCGGAAGGUGCGGCUGGAUCACCUCCUUU